This 756-nucleotide ribosomal RNA is filed under the name Micrococcus sp. SX2S10S3. RNAcentral's name for it is "bacterial SSU rRNA". It matches the Rfam family "Bacterial small subunit ribosomal RNA", at positions 56 to 827 of the family's 1533-position model. Lineage: Bacteria; Bacillati; Actinomycetota; Actinomycetes; Micrococcales; Micrococcaceae. The record is from RNAcentral.
UGCAGUCGAACGAUGAGCCCAGCUUGCUGGGUGGAUUAGUGGCGAACGGGUGAGUAACACGUGAGUAACCUGCCCUUAACUCUGGGAUAAGCCUGGGAAACUGGGUCUAAUACCGGAUAGGAGCGCCUACCGCAUGGUGGGUGUUGGAAAGAUUUAUCGGUUUUGGAUGGACUCGCGGCCUAUCAGCUUGUUGGUGAGGUAAUGGCUCACCAAGGCGACGACGGGUAGCCGGCCUGAGAGGGUGACCGGCCACACUGGGACUGAGACACGGCCCAGACUCCUACGGGAGGCAGCAGUGGGGAAUAUUGCACAAUGGGCGCAAGCCUGAUGCAGCGACGCCGCGUGAGGGAUGACGGCCUUCGGGUUGUAAACCUCUUUCAGUAGGGAAGAAGCGAAAGUGACGGUACCUGCAGAAGAAGCACCGGCUAACUACGUGCCAGCAGCCGCGGUAAUACGUAGGGUGCGAGCGUUAUCCGGAAUUAUUGGGCGUAAAGAGCUCGUAGGCGGUUUGUCGCGUCUGUCGUGAAAGUCCGGGGCUUAACCCCGGAUCUGCGGUGGGUACGGGCAGACUAGAGUGCAGUAGGGGAGACUGGAAUUCCUGGUGUAGCGGUGGAAUGCGCAGAUAUCAGGAGGAACACCGAUGGCGAAGGCAGGUCUCUGGGCUGUAACUGACGCUGAGGAGCGAAAGCAUGGGGAGCGAACAGGAUUAGAUACCCUGGUAGUCCAUGCCGUAAACGUUGGGCACUAGGUGUGGGG